AUAUAUAUAGUCAAAGCAACUGCUAAAAGCUGUAGUGAAGUGGAGCAAAAUGGUAUAAAAAUGGCAAUAUGUUUGGGGAUCUGAAACUCCCCUUUUCACUCUGGAAAUAUAUGCCCACAUAAAUUCAACCCAGCCCUUAAAAAUAUUCAACAUCACUUUAGGAGAGUAUAUUGUGCCUAGCACUGUUUUGUGAGACUCUUUUUUUGCGGCAAUUCUAACUGCUGUGUGGAUAUAUUUUUUGAAAGCUGAGCCCACAUAAAUGUAGUUUGUGAAAGUGGUAGUCCCCCCCACCUCCAACUCCGCCACACACACAGCUGAGAUAUUCCUUCUUUAUCACUGUGAGUGACAUUUCUUUAGAAACUUCUCCCUUGGGGAAUCAUUGCAGGAAGUGCAUUUUUCAGCCUAUUGUAGAGUGUUUCGGGGGGGGGGGGGGAUAUAUAGAAAUAUUGCCGUGCUGGGUUGAAAUGAUGGGUUAGCUGUAACACAGUUUUCAUUCUGCUAACCAUAUUGCAGAACAAUGGGAGUUACAUAUUUUGGAAUGUUGGAUCCUCCUUCCAAUCCUAGUCUCUUACUUUUGAAAACAAUGAGGCUGGAGAGGAGAGGGCAAUAACUGCUGAUGACCUGGGAUAAAUGAUGCCCAGAGCACCCCCAUUCUGUUUCUUUAUGUCAGGGAUGGGAAAUCCAUGGCACUCCACAUAUUUCUUUGGAAAAUGCUCCUGGCUUAUCUCCUUGGUAGAGCACACCUAAAUGCUGCAGAUUUAACCAUUGGCACCUAUAGGUAGGGAUGGGAAUUUCCAGUCAUUGCAGGCCAGUGUGGGAACCUGUGCCUAUUCACAUAUUGCUGGAUUUCAACUCUCAUCUAACCCAGCCACCAUGACCCGUGGUCAGGGACGAUGAGGAUAACACAUUGGCUGUCAGGAACGUGGACCCCCAGGACGCAGCAGAAGAGUCAGCCCCAGAAAUUGAACUAAGCGAGCAAGGGGCUGACUCUGCAGAGGAGAGCUGUCUGUCAGAGUUUAGAGAAGACAGCCCAACCCCCCUCCUUCCCAUGGAAGACACUGCCAGCUCCCUGGGAGAGGAAGAGUUGGAAGUCAGCCAGAGCAUUGCCAGGAAACCAGCAGAUAAGCCAGAGUCAGGGGCUGUGUCUUCUGGGAGUGGGGAAGAGACAGGCCAGCAUUUCAGUCCCCGCACUAGGAGAUUAGAGAAGCUCAGAGAGCAGUGGAAGGGAAGGAGGAGAAAGGCGAGUCUUUGGCAUUCUUCCUUCUGGGGGAGGGACGACGAGUCAGAUUGAACAACUACUGUUAAUGAGAGCACACUGUUCACCGUGCUCUGGGUGUUUUUUUCUUGUAAAUAAACUUACAUAAAAGUGCUGGAGAGUCUUUGCUGCUUAUCAGGAUGCUUGCCUGCCAGCAAUUGUUGGAUUGGUCACCUUUGUUUUAUAUGAAAGCUGUAAUAUACCAGGUCAGAUUGUGUGUCCAUUGAGUCCAGUAUCCAGUUGGUUAGAGCAUUCUGAUAAUGCCAAGGUUGCAGGUUCGAUCCCCAUAUGGGAUAGCUGCAUAUUCCAGCAUUGCAGGGGAUUGAACUCAGCAUCCCUCCUGAUUCUAUGAUUCUACUUGUGUCUUCCAGUUGUUGAGAAACCCCCAUCCAAGACAGCCAGCAAGGAUAGUUGAUGGUCAAUGACUGCCAAUGGCUGGAGCGAUACAGCUUUCCCAUCCCUGCAUUAUUUGUGUGGAUGUUUAUUCUACAUUGUAUCCCACUCCUCGAUUCUGUUUCAGCUUUCAACUAGAGGGGUUCUGUUCACAUGUUACAUUCGAUGAGUGUACAAUCUCUGUACCUGUGUACACAAAUAGUUGAGCACUACACUGAAAUGUUAUCCAGUUUGUUUGUUUAUUGCAUUUGUAUCCCGCCCUUUUCUCCAAGGAACUUAAGGCGGUGUACAUGGUUGUCCCAUUCCUCAUUUGAACCCCAGAAUAGCCCGUUGUUAUAGGUUAGGCUAGGGUAGCGACUGGCUCAAGGUCUCACAGUGAACUUCAUGGCUGAGUGGCUAUUUGAACCCUGAUCUCUCAGGUACUAGUCCAACACUCUAGCCUCCUCCCCACACUAGCUCUCAAUGUCUAACGUUCAAGGGAUGUACAGUUGUUGAUCUGUACAAAUUAAGAAGCACACACUCUUUCAAAGGAGCACUUUUAACAGCAUGG
Molecule: non-coding RNA, 2198 nt
Organism: Podarcis lilfordi (Lilford's wall lizard)
Lineage: Eukaryota; Metazoa; Chordata; Lepidosauria; Squamata; Lacertidae
Source: the annotation of a GenBank genome assembly